This 432-nucleotide ribosomal RNA is filed under the name uncultured bacterium. RNAcentral's name for it is "bacterial SSU rRNA". It matches the Rfam family "Bacterial small subunit ribosomal RNA", at positions 354 to 796 of the family's 1533-position model. The record is from RNAcentral.
GUGGGGAAUCUUGCGCAAUGGGCGAAAGCCUGACGCAGCAACGCCGCGUGGGGGAUGACGGCCUUCGGGUUGUAAACCUCUUUCGACCGGGACGAAGGAUUCGUUUGACGGUACCGGUAGAAGAAGCACCGGCUAACUACGUGCCAGCAGCCGCGGUAAUACGUAGGGUGCGAGCGUUGUCCGGAAUUAUUGGGCGUAAAGAGCUCGUAGGCGGUUUGUCGCGUCGGCCGUGAAAUCCUGCCGCUUAACGGUGGGCGUGCGGUCGAUACGGGCAGACUUGAGUUCGGUAGGGGAGACUGGAAUUCCUGGUGUAGCGGUGAAAUGCGCAGAUAUCAGGAGGAACACCGGUGGCGAAGGCGGGUCUCUGGGCCGAUACUGACGCUGAGGAGCGAAAGCGUGGGGAGCGAACAGGAUUAGAAACCCUAGUAGUCC